This 253-nucleotide ribosomal RNA is filed under the name uncultured bacterium. Its description in RNAcentral is "partial 16S ribosomal RNA". It matches the Rfam family "Bacterial small subunit ribosomal RNA", at positions 524 to 776 of the family's 1533-position model. The record is from RNAcentral.
UACGAAGGGGGCUAGCGUUGCUCGGAAUCACUGGGCGUAAAGGGCGCGUAGGCGGCCAUUCAAGUCGGAGGUGAAAGCCCAGGGCUCAACCCUGGAAUUGCCUUCGAUACUGGCGAUCUUGAGUCCGGAAGAGGUGAGUGGAACUCCUAGUGUAGAGGUGGAAUUCGUAGAUAUUAGGAAGAACACCAGUGGCGAAGGCGGCUCACUGGUCCGGUACUGACGCUGAGGUGCGAAAGCGUGGGGAGCAAACAGG